RNAcentral lists this ribosomal RNA (1437 nucleotides) under uncultured organism. Its description in RNAcentral is "SSU rRNA". It matches the Rfam family "Bacterial small subunit ribosomal RNA". The record is from RNAcentral.
UUAACACAUGCAAGUCGAGGGGCAGCAUGGUCUUAGCUUGCUAAGGCCGAUGGCGACCGGCGCACGGGUGAGUAACGCGUAUCCAACCUGCCUUACACUCUUGGACAGCCUUCUGAAAGGGAGAUUAAUACAAGAUGUUAUCAUGAGUAAGCAUUUUCGCAUGAUUAAAGGUUUACCGGUGUAAGAUGGGGAUGCGUUCCAUUAGAUAGUAGGCGGGGUAACGGCCCACCUAGUCUUCGAUGGAUAGGGGUUCUGAGAGGAAGGUCCCCCACAUUGGAACUGAGACACGGUCCAAACUCCUACGGGAGGCAGCAGUGAGGAAUAUUGGUCAAUGGACGAGAGUCUGAACCAGCCAAGUAGCGUGAAGGAUGAAGGUUCUAUGGAUUGUAAACUUCUUUUAUACGGGAAUAAACGGAUCCACGUGUGGAUUUUUGCAUGUACCGUAUGAAUAAGGAUCGGCUAACUCCGUGCCAGCAGCCGCGGUAAUACGGAGGAUCCGAGCGUUAUCCGGAUUUAUUGGGUUUAAAGGGAGCGUAGAUGGGUUGUUAAGUCAGUUGUGAAAGUUUGCGGCUCAACCGUAAAAUUGCAAUUGAUACUGGCAGUCUUGAGUACAGUUGAGGUAGGCGGAAUUCGUGGUGUAGCGGUGAAAUGCUUAGAUAUCACGAAGAACUCCGAUUGCGAAGGCAGCUUACUAACCUGUAACUGACAUUGAUGCUCGAAAGUGUGGGUAUCAAACAGGAUUAGAUACCCUGGUAGUCCACACGGUAAACGAUGAAUACUCGCUGUAGGCGAUAUACAGUCUGCGGCCAAGCGAAAGCAUUAAGUAUUCCACCUGGGGAGUACGCCGGCAACGGUGAAACUCAAAGGAAUUGACGGGGGCCCGCACAAGCGGAGGAACAUGUGGUUUAAUUCGAUGAUACGCGAGGAACCUUACCCGGGCUUAAAUUGCAACCGAAUAUGGCGGAAACGCUAUAGCUAGCAAUAGCGGUUGUGAAGGUGCUGCAUGGUUGUCGUCAGCUCGUGCCGUGAGGUGUCGGCUUAAGUGCCAUAACGAGCGCAACCCUUGCCGAUAGUUACUAACAGGUCAUGCUGAGGACUCUGUCGGGACUGCCAUCGUAAGAUGUGAGGAAGGUGGGGAUGACGUCAAAUCAGCACGGCCCUUACGUCCGGGGCUACACACGUGUUACAAUGGGGGGUACAGAGGGCUGCUACCACGCAAGUGGAUGCCAAUCCCAAAAACCUCUCUCAGUUCGGAUUGAAGUCUGCAACCCGACUUCAUGAAGCUGGAUUCGCUAGUAAUCGCGCAUCAGCCACGGCGCGGUGAAUACGUUCCCGGGCCUUGUACACACCGCCCGUCAAGCCAUGGGAGCCGGGGGUACCUGAAGUGCGUAACCGCAAGGAGCGCCCUAGGGUAAAACUGGUGACUGGGGCUAAAUC